UCGGAUUGCAGGCUGCAACCCGCCUGCAUGAAGCCGGAAUCGCUAGUAAUCGCGGAUCAGAAUGCCGCGGUGAAUACGUUCCCGGGUCUUGUACACACCGCCCGUCACACCAUGGGAGUCGGGAAUGCCCGAAGUCAGUGGCCCAACCGGAAGGGGGGAGCUGCCGAAGGCAGGCCCGGUGACUGGGGUGAAGUCGUAACAAGGUAUC
Molecule: ribosomal RNA, 208 nt
Filed under: uncultured bacterium
Lineage: Bacteria
Description: partial 16S ribosomal RNA
Rfam family: Bacterial small subunit ribosomal RNA
Source: RNAcentral